Molecule: ribosomal RNA, 253 nt
Filed under: uncultured bacterium
Lineage: Bacteria
Description: partial 16S ribosomal RNA
Rfam family: Bacterial small subunit ribosomal RNA
Source: RNAcentral
UACGGAGGGUGCAAGCGUUAUCCGGAUUCACUGGGUUUAAAGGGAGCGUAGGCGGGUUUCUAAGUCAGGUGUUUAAUCCCGGGGCCCAACCCCGGACAGGCACUUGAAACUGGGAAUCUUGAAUAGUGGAGAGGUCAGUGGAAUUGGGGGUGUAGCGGUGGAAUGCGUAGAGAUCCCCAAGAACACCAGUUGCGAAGGCGGCUGACUGGACACAUAUUGACGCUGAGGCUCGAAAGCAUGGGGAGCAAACAGG